CCAGCGAGAGAGCGAGCGGGCGGGCGGGCGGGCGGGCGCGGCCGCAGCAGGUGAGCGGCGCCCGGCGCCCGCUGAUUGGCCGCUCCCGGGCGCAAAGGCACAGCACAGCAGUGAAAGAGGACUGGUGAGAGCGUUUCCAGGUGCUGGUGUUUCCCCUGACAAGCUACUGGCCUAUUUGGGCUCUCUGGAGACUGCAUCCCUACGAAUCUGGUUGCUGUGAUUAUUUUAGCACCCGCCGCAGAUCUCCCUGGGGGACAGAGGAGUUGUGCCAGCAGAUGUGGCUCGUGCGCUCUGCUCGCGCUGGGCCCGGCAGGCAGGCUGGGUGCAGGCUGGAGGGGCUCCAAGGGGGGUGCGAAGCCAUGGCGCUUGGUCCCUGCCCCAGCCCCCCGGGGAAGGGGGGAUCCACCCAGGAAGUUUUGCUGAGGGUGACUCGGAAACCUGGGCCAACGUGUGAGGGAGAGGAAGAGAAAUUUGGUGUUCAGGAGUGCGUUUCUCCCUGCUAGUGGAGUUCCAGAGCAGUUUGCAGUUUCCCUGCAGUCCCGUAGGGUGAAGGGUGCUGGACAAACACUCAGGUCCUGUAACACCAUCAGUAGAUGUGCUAAUGAUGCGUGUGGGAUGCAGUGGCAGUUGUUAAUGCUGGACUGUUAAAUGAGACACUUGGACUGAGGUCUUUGAGCUUCUGGCAGCCAAGCGCCAUGGGAGUGACAGAUCCAAAGUACCAAACUGUUACCUGUCAGGCUGCACCCGUGUCGUACUGACAGUUCCAGCACUGGCCUCUUUCCUUGUGCUGACUGGGAGGAGAUGGUGGCUCUUGGCAGACACAGUCCAGCAACACCUCUCCAGUGGGCAGGGGACACACCCUGCACGUCUGCAAAACGCAGCCAUCCGUGUGGUCCUGCUCGGGGAUGGCUGAGACUGACGAGUGCAUUUCUCUUGCAUCCCUCAUGGGAGAGGCAGCGGGAAAGCAAGCACAUACUCUUCACUCCCCUUUUUGUCUGGAUGACCUCAGAUGGGUCGUGCUCACCAGCAUGGUGAGGUGAGACUCCACCCAGCUCAGCUCCCACCGAAGCUCCUGAGCUCCCUUGUAAGCUCAGAACAUCUUUCUCAUUGGGUUAUGACGUAGCUAAACUGAAAAGGAGAAACCCAAAAAGGGCCAAGCACCUGAAACUCCCACUAGUGCUUGGGGUGACACGAGCUACCAGGCCUCUGUGGGAAGAAACCGUGGCCACCACUGUGCUGGUAAUCAUACUCCUGCCAGGAAAAAAUAGCAAUGGAUCAGGUCAUCUGGGACACGAGCGCAGCAGCUCUGUGCCAAGGGCCAAAUGUAGGUUAUGUGCACAGCCUGGGCGUGCUCUCCUGCCCGAGUGCCGUCUUCUGCAGGUGUUGGCAUAACUCCCCCUCUCUGGAUUUGUUUCUAUUUACAUGAAGCUCUGAAGGGCCCAUGGGGCUGGUAAGGAGCAGGAAUUAACUUUUCCUUAAAUGUCAUAGCAAAACCCUGGUGGUGAAGUGGAACAAGUCAACCCUGAAGAUUUGCUUUUUACCCAUCCAAAAUCAAAAGAUGUGGCGCUUUUUUUUUUUUUUUUUUUUUUUUUUUAAAUAUAUACUUACAUAAUUUGUCCUCAUUUUGGUUCUUAAUAGCUAGCACAGCUCAGCUGGCUAGCUGGCUGCAAUUAGGCCGUGUAAUAUUACUUGUGUCUCUUUUUGAGAAAUGACUGGUUUGUCUUAGCCCACAAGCCUUAUUUUAGAUAAUGAAAAGCCCCAUUUUUAAGUGCAAAUGUGAUUUUAAAGCUAGUUAUUCUUGUCCAUGAACAUGACGAGACCUUAAAGCAGAAUCUUUGAGGUGCCGAAGGAGACCCGUUAAAAUUACCAGGCAUUUAUCAGAGCCUCAGUAAGGACGUGUUUGAGCACGACAGGUUUUGUUCUUCUCCACAUGCUGUUCAGACAAACCCAGCCAGGCUGAACCACCACGUGCCCUACACCCACCACUGCUCAAGGGCUGAACCCGCCAGUUCUGAAAGCUCCCAUUUUGAGGAAGGUGUUCAAAACAGAAACCAGGGUUGAGCAGCCACCGCACCUUUGCAACACUGAAAGUAAGGGCUUGGGCCACGUUUUCUCGCUCUCUUUGCUCGUCUUGGAGUGCUGGUCUGUCAUUGCUUAAGUGCAGAAGCUGUCCUGAAAGAAAACUCUGCCGCUCAAAUACAAGACCCUAAGAAGCUUGCUGCUAAUGCAGCACCACAGAAGUUUGUCAGUGCCCUGCCCCAGGCACCACCUCUGGGGAGCUGGAGCCCCACGAUGAGCUGCACCAGGGACCCGAAACCUGACCCGGCUGCCUGCGGGGGGAGGAAGCGCCUCCAGCCCUCUCCGGUCCGUCAGUCCCACUCAGGCCAGUGCACGGGUGCUUCAACAAAGUUCUGCAUCUUGAACUGUGAAUUAUGGCUGCAUUGUGAGUAAACAUGGAAUGACUCGCCCACCCACCCACCCACCUACCCAUUUGUUUAGACCCUGUUUAACACUACCUCAUGCCUCUAAGUGGACUGUGCGGGGCUUUUAAAAAUUUGAGAAGAUGGCUCCUUUUCACUUGAAGCCUUCAUUUGCAUGCCAAGUGAAGAUUUGAGAAGCAAAAGGGGUUUUUGUUUUCAGAAAAAAAAAAUCGUAACUGCACGGGACUUAAGAAGAAACAAAACCUAGCUUUUGUGGAAAUUAUGAAAAACAUGGAAGCUGGCUAAUAUGAACCCGGGGGGAGUGGAAAAAGCUGAACCGAGCUAUUACCGAGCAGUGUGUGGCUUAAAGAUGCUGUAGUGAGCUCUGGUGUGGGUAGUACUGAGAGCUUAUGUUCUAACACUGUUUAGUGUAGUUUAUGCUUUUCACAUUAUACCGCUUCCCUGCAUUUAUACUUAAGCUUGUGUCCUGGGUUGAGUGAGUGGUGGAGUUUUUUGGUGGCAGGGGAGGGGGCUAUUGGGGCAGCCCCCU
This is a long non-coding RNA of Tyto alba (common barn owl), 2970 nucleotides long. RefSeq lists it as uncharacterized. The transcript is spliced from 4 exons. NCBI's taxonomy places the organism in Eukaryota, Metazoa, Chordata, Aves, Strigiformes, Tytonidae. The record is from RefSeq and is a predicted model, not a curated record.